Molecule: long non-coding RNA, 288 nt
Filed under: Capsella rubella
Lineage: Eukaryota; Viridiplantae; Streptophyta; Magnoliopsida; Brassicales; Brassicaceae
Description: long non-coding RNA (CRUB_LNC001638)
Source: RNAcentral
AAUAAUAAGAAUUUGUGUUUUAAAAAAUUAAUAAUUUAAAUUAAUAAGUAAAAACAUAUUAAAGAUUGGAUUAAUAUAAAACAUAUAAUAUUAACAUUGAAAACAUUAAAUAAUUACAAAGUUACUAAAAGUUGAAAAAGAAAAAACAUACAAUUAAGACAUUAAAAAUAUAAAACAUAAAACAUACAAAGAUCAAAAAUAAAAACAAACAUUUUAUUCAAUUCAUAGAAAUUUUAAAAUUAAUCAUCAUUAUCUAGAAGAUGUCCAAAGUUAGUCCAAAUAUGCUCA